AGCGAACGCUGGCGGCAGGCUUAACACAUGCAAGUCGAGCGGGCGUAGCAAUACGUCAGCGGCAGACGGGUGAGUAACGCGUGGGAACAUACCUUUUGGUUCGGAACAACACAGGGAAACUUGUGCUAAUACCGGAUAAGCCCUUACGGGGAAAGAUUUAUCGCCGAAAGAUUGGCCCGCGUCUGAUUAGCUAGUUGGUGAGGUAACGGCUCACCAAGGCGACGAUCAGUAGCUGGCUGAGAGAAUGAUCAGCCACAUUGGGACUGAGACACGGCCCAAACUCCUACGGGAGGCAGCAGUGGGGAAUAUUGGACAAUGGGCGCAAGCCUGAUCCAGCCAUGCCGCGUGAGUGAUGAAGGCCCUAGGGUUGUAAAGCUCUUUUGUGC
RNAcentral lists this ribosomal RNA (386 nucleotides) under uncultured bacterium. RNAcentral's name for it is "bacterial SSU rRNA". It matches the Rfam family "Bacterial small subunit ribosomal RNA", at positions 29 to 441 of the family's 1533-position model. The record is from RNAcentral.